AACCCCCCUGUCGUAUCCAAUAUUCAACCCGCAGUUCUCAAGCACACAGAAGCACGGGCUCUCCUCACCUCCCGAUCCCAGCCGCCAGGAGGCGACCGAUCCCGGCGACGCUCGAUCCGGUGCUACGAGCUAGGGUUUGAUCCGCCACCUCUCCGGCCUCCCCGUCGGUGGCGCACCGACGCUCCGGUCACCCCUCUUCUCCUCCCCUUCCCUCCUCUGCUCUUGCCCCCUUCUCCUCCACUCAUUUUUUUCGUCCGUCUCAAUUCGCUCGAUCCGCCCCUCCUGAGCGGCGGCUGCAGGCGACGUGGUGCCAUGCCACUCCUCUCUCCUCAAGGCGCCGCCAUCCCGAGACGCGCUGAUCUGGUGCCGCUGGAGGUGACCGCCGUUGUCGACCUGGCAGGCUCAACAGUCACCGCUGGAGCUCCACAUCCCCAAGACGAGGUGGAAGAAGCCCCAAUCACGGGCAAGUGCCGCCACCCCAACGGCACCGAUGGGGUCUGGGAGGUAGAUGUCAGGGACAGAGGGGAUGACGGACAAUCCACAUACGCCAGUCGAAGGCCUCGAGAAGGAUGGCUCAGUCGGACUCAAGAGCAGCUGGACUAGAGGACACCAUCGUCUUCACAUCGCAUAUGUCUAUUGAAUUUGAUGAGAGAAGGGCAUGGAGCCAAGAAGGUUGGAUCGUGCGGUUGUUAGAAUCCUCGCAGUGUGUUGAACCUCCCAAUGGAGCUUCUGUGUUCGGCAAUGGCCAUGUGACGGACAGAGCGAGAGGCACAUCAUCAUGGCCAGACGCAACAAGGGAUGGUACCUGAGGCACAACCGCUACGGUGCUGAGAAGGAGGGGGCUGUAGCACCCGACAAAUGCUGGACUCAGCUUUGAUGCUCAAUUAGGGCGGCCACACACAUGACUCUGCCCAAGGUUCAACUGCAGUUGGCUCGGAUAAAAAGGAUUGCAACAUUGGUAGUACUGUUGAUAGGAUGGUUAGUUUUGGAAGGGGAAUGGUAGUAUGCGCAGAGAUUGAAAACAAGGCUACAGUGCAAACACUCUUGCUCAACCAAUUUAAGCUCAGUGUCAGCUCUUUGUGCUCUUUCCUUCUUGCAGAACCAAUGUUUCCUCAUGAGUCACCUUUGUUCCCGGUAUUAUAGUCAUGAAGAAGCUUUCCUUCACAUUUUAAUUUGCCUAACCAGCCCCAGAAGCAUCCAAUCUCGCCUCUGACGCAUUGCCGGAACACCUUACGCCGUCCGCACGUGCUCCACACUUCGCCGGAACUUCUUCUGCAGGUUUUCCAUUUGAGGCUAUGCGAUGAAGCUGAUAGAAUUGCUAGAAAUCAGAAGAUGAACAAUGGAAUAGUUAGUGACCAGUGAACCUUGAGCCCAUGGAAUAGCCCUUUAUGACAAAUAGCAGAACUCUGUUCUGUCUAGAUCUUUUGGUUGCCCAUCGUAUCGGGCAUGUGCAUUGCACAACAGCAUGCAAGGCAGUUGGGAAUCAAGUGCAUCAUCACGGUGACACAACUGAUCUACAACAAGAGAACCCAUCCAAAGUAAAAGAAAAUACAUAGUAUCCAAUCCAUCAUAUCCUAAUUAAACCCCAAACAGAUGUUCUUGCCUUGAUCGAGGGUGUAAGCUACAGUAGUUUUCUUCUUCUGAUAAGGCACUUGAUAUAUGUCAUAGUAUCGGUAGUAUGGUUCACACACUGGUGUACAAAACAUGGAAACAACACUGUCAAACUUAACCAAAGGAAUAAAGGGCAUACUACAGUGUGAUGUGGUGUCGCAGGGCGCAUGCUGGACAUUUUGCUGAUGCCAUGCAUCAAUGAGAAACCUGCGCGUGCACCCCUCGCCUUCCUCUGUUCUAGGCCUCCCCGUCUUGCCUCACUCCUCUCCGGCAGUCAUUGAUUUCGACGGGAAAUAUGCAAGGAGGAUGGGGAAUAACUGCUUGUACGGGUUGUGGGCAUGCUCGGACCAGGAGGAGACAAAAGUUGUUGCGGCUGCCAUGCGCAAUGAAGGAUGGGUACGAUGGUCAGCGGGAUGGGAUGCAGCGGCUCGCAGGGGCAGCGCCUUCGGCGGCAGGCGCUGGGGCAAUGAAUUCUACUUAUGCGUUGGAGUCAGUUGCAUGCUAACUGGACAAUGCGUUAGCUUGUUCUGUACUUACUCUGUAGCUACCAGUGAUCAAAGUUGGAAGCUCAAUGUAAGCUAAACAGUUACCUUCUUUACUUGUGUUGGUUUUUCCAUGCGUGAUUCUUUGGGGCGUAGGAAUUUUACUAAAGCUAGCUCGAUUUCAACAAGAAUUUGAACAAUUCUCUGGUCUGGUCUGAAAGUUACCUAUUUGGGUAGCUAGGUUCAGUGAUUGAAAAUAUUGCAUGUUAUUAUUGGUGAAUAUAAGUUCAUGGACAAAUAAAAGUGGAAGAUCAUGGGGAAAUUUGCUAUCAAUUUUUAAUUUGUUACUCUGAUGUAUUCUAUUGUCGACAAAAUUAUAUAGUCAAACGAGGCAUGUAGCACAGGUAUUCAGUCUAGAAUGAUAUUUUGGUGAGGAUAAUCAUGAAUUCUCUUGGGUUCUGUCCUGAUAUUUGGCAGUUGUAGAAUAUCGUAUCCAUUAUUUGUUUGAAAUAUGAUAUCUCCAUUGUUACUGUAGAAUAUCAUGCGAUUAUUUAUUUGAAAUAUGACAUCUUCAUUGUUACUGUAGAAUAUCAUGUCCAUUAUUUAUUUGAAAUAUGACAUCUCCAUUGUUACUACUGGAGCUGAAAAAUAUAUUUCACAACUACCUAAAUAAAUCUAUUUUAUCAUCUAUUACUGACUUUUUGAUUCCCAGGUCCAAAGAAAUAAGUUCUACAAGUGCAACCUUAUGUCUGUAUCAGGUGUACUGCUCUAAAUUGCUUAAGCGAUCAGGUGUCCUGCUAUAUGGACCUCCAGGCACUGGGAAGACAUUACUUGUGAAAGCAGUAGCAACUGAGUGCUCAUUAAACUUUCUUAGCGUAAAAGGUCCAGAACUGACAAACAUGUAUGUUGGAGAGUCAGAGAGGAAUAUCAGGGACAUCUUUUAGAAGGCUAGAUCAGCACGCCCAUGAGUAAUUUUCUUCGAUGAGCUUGAUUCCCUUGCUCCUGCACGAGGGUCAUCUGCACAUUCUAGAGAUGUGAUGGAUAAAUGGUUUCUCAGCACAAAUGCCCGAUGGAGAUGCAUAUGUUUGGCAUUCUAUCAGUAAACAUACACGUGCGCUGGCUUGCAGUACUACAUUUUGUGAUUGUGUAGUAUCCACACCACUACUAAUGCUUAAGUCCGUUGCCUUGCCGUGUAAUUGUGUCAUAUGCACACCAAUACUAAUGCUCUAUGCUCUCGCUUGAGAGCACGUGCUGUGCUUUGUAUCAUCUAAAAAAUGUAAACUCUAUAAUUAGAAACAGACUUUAGCACUGUGAUCCAGUAUGUAUUGAGUAGUGGAUUAAUGUAUGUA
Molecule: non-coding RNA, 3442 nt
Organism: Triticum urartu
Lineage: Eukaryota; Viridiplantae; Streptophyta; Magnoliopsida; Poales; Poaceae
Source: RefSeq, a predicted model, not a curated record